GAUGAACGCUGGCGGCGUGCCUAAUACAUGCAAGUCGAGCGAACGGACGAGAAGCUUGCUUCUCUGAUGUUAGCGGCGGACGGGUGAGUAACACGUGGAUAACCUACCUAUAAGACUGGGAUAACUUCGGGAAACCGGAGCUAAUACCGGAUAAUAUUUUGAACCGCAUGGUUCAAAAGUGAAAGACGGUCUUGCUGUCACUUAUAGAUGGAUCCGCGCUGCAUUAGCUAGUUGGUAAGGUAACGGCUUACCAAGGCAACGAUGCAUAGCCGACCUGAGAGGGUGGUCGGCCACAAUGGAACUGAGACACGGUCCAGACUCCUACGGGAGGCAGCAGUAGGGAAUCUUCCGCAAUGGGCGAAAGCCUGACGGAGCAACGCCGCGUGAGUGAUGAAGGUCUUCGGAUCGUAAAACUCUGUUAUUAGGGAAGAACAUAUGUGUAAGUAACUGUGCACAUCUUGACGGUACCUAAUCAGAAAGCCACGGCUAACUACGUG
This 497-nucleotide ribosomal RNA is filed under the name uncultured bacterium. RNAcentral's name for it is "partial 16S ribosomal RNA". It matches the Rfam family "Bacterial small subunit ribosomal RNA", at positions 28 to 507 of the family's 1533-position model. The record is from RNAcentral.